GAUGAACGCUGGCGGCGUGCCUAAUACAUGCAAGUCGAGCGAACAGACGAGGGGCUUGCUCCUCUGACGUUAGCGGCGGACGGGUGAGUAACACGUGGAUAACCUACCUAUAAGACUGGGAUAACUUCGGGAAACCGGAGCUAAUACCGGAUAAUAUAUUGAACCGCAUGGUUCAAUAGUGAAAGACGGUUUUGCUGUCACUUAUAGAUGGAUCCGCGCCGCAUUAGCUAGUUGGUAAGGUAACGGCUUACCAAGGCAACGAUGCGUAGCCGACCUGAGAGGGUGAUCGGCCACACUGGAACUGAGACACGGUCCAGACUCCUACGGGAGGCAGCAGUAGGGAAUCUUCCGCAAUGGGCGAAAGCUUGACGGAGCAACGCCGCGUGAGUGAUGAAGGUCUUCGGAUCGUAAAACUCUGUUAUUAGGGAAGAACAAAUGUGUAAGUAACUAUGCACGUCUUGACGGUACCUAAUCAGAAAGCCACGGCUAACUACGUG
Molecule: ribosomal RNA, 497 nt
Filed under: uncultured bacterium
Lineage: Bacteria
Description: partial 16S ribosomal RNA
Rfam family: Bacterial small subunit ribosomal RNA
Source: RNAcentral